RNAcentral lists this ribosomal RNA (319 nucleotides) under uncultured bacterium. RNAcentral describes it as "bacterial SSU rRNA". It matches the Rfam family "Bacterial small subunit ribosomal RNA", at positions 28 to 334 of the family's 1533-position model. The record is from RNAcentral.
GAUGAACGCUAGCGGCAGGCUUAACACAUGCAAGUCGAGGGGCAGCAUGACACGGAGAUUCGUCGAAGUGUUGAUGGCGACCGGCGCAAGGGUGCGUAACGCGUGAGCAACUUGCCCGUUUCAGGGGGAUAACCGGUGGAAACGCCGACUAAUACCCCAUAGCAUCAUGAAGAGGCAUCUUUUUUGUGAUUAAAGAAUUUCGGAAACGGAUAGGCUCGCGUGACAUUAGUUAGAUGGCGGGGUAACGGCCCACCAUGACUACGAUGUCUAGGGGUUCUGAGAGGAAGGUCCCCCACACUGGAACUGAGACACGGUCCAG